CAUUCGGUGGAGGGACAGUGUUUAUGAUCCCGGCUUAAAACCACUCACCAUCUCUUAUGACCCAGCCACCUGCCUCCACGUCUGGAAUAAUGGGUACUCUUUCCUCGUGGAAUUUGAAGAUUCUACAGAUAAAUCAGGAAAAUUCUCAGUCUCCCUUGAAGAAGUGAAGCCUCCUUCUUUAUGCACUGGCCACUGUCUAAUACCUCCCAACAAUACUUAGAGGAGACUACCUGCUGGAACCUCACUAGAAUUGAGAGAUCAAAUGGUUUUGGCUGUUUUCCCACCGGGGAAUAUAAAAAAUACACAGUUAAUUGCAGAAACGAAGGCUGGGCAUGAUUCCAUCCUAAGCAGCGAUUCUUCAGGUAGCUGCCCAGAAGGGCCUGGAACUCCUCUGGACCACUGCUGAUCUCCAGAUACUCCCUGAGAACCAUCACCUCGGCGUCCGAUUCCUGAGUGGUUUUCACUACUAAAUAUAGUGACUCAGUGACCCAGUCUCUUGGCCAGGACGCUCUCAUGGAAUUUGGGUCGUUUGGCACUUCCUGCCUGGUGCCCACCUGUCUAGAUUACUGGACCCAAGUAGGUCCAGUAUCUCCCUGGUCCAGCCCUGUCUUGAGUCCAUCACCUUUAUCAUUAAGAACCAGCCAGUAGAGGUUGAUCAUGAUCAGGUACGUUCUCUCCACAAUUUUCAUCUAAGGAAAUCCUCAUCUCCCCUUUUGAAACAAGGCUGGGCUCAGACUGUGGCAUCAGUUUUAACAUCUUGUAAUGCUUAUACAUUUUUAUUGAAGUGUACCAACGUCUUAUCUCAGUUUGGACAUGAAUUUAGAGAUAUUUCAAAUUAGCUAGAGAGAAGAGUUAAAACAUAGAAGAACACAAGCUUUUUACAUCUAUAUUUGACAGUGACAUAAUGUUUUUAUUAUACAUGCAUUGUGUAGAUUCUCUAUGAAAAUUAAGACCCUUUUAAAAAAAAAAUGAAGGCUGGAAAUGGGUAUAUUCAAAACCCUUUAAAAUCCUUAAGGGAGUUUUGCUGUAGAAUCUCAGGAUAAAGACAGACUCCAACAAUAUUCAUCCAGAAAUUUUCAUGUAAGUCAGUUGUUUGAAACUUGGGAAUUAUUUUUCUCUUAGAAACUAAGUCUGUGGUGGUUACUACAUCAGCACACAAAAUCCUGUUUAAUUCAUAAACUAAACUGUAAUAAUAACUGCGUUUACUUGUUAUAUUGGAUUUUUAUUGACUAAAAGCUUCCAGCCUCUUUUUUAUGCAGCCAGGAUAACAGUGAUACCAAAACCUAUCAAAGAUUAGACCAUCCUACCCCCAAAAAAUAACAAUAGGUCAAUAUCUCUAAAAAAUAUGUAACAACAACAGAAGAAGCUAAAUAAAAUACUAGAAAUAGAAUCUAGCAGUGCAUUAGAAGAAAUAGAUACUUUGUCCAGGUAGGGUUUAUUCUAGUAAUCCAAAGAUGGUUCAGUACUAAGAAUGAUAUACUUACGAUUAAUGGAUUUCAUCCCAUCAACAAAUCUAUAUGAUCAUUUCCGUAGAUUUCCUAAAAUACAUUAGACAAAACCCACCAUCCCUUUAAAAUUUUUUUAAUAAAACAGAAAUGAAGAAUUCCCUAACUGGAUGAAGUAGAUUUAUCUCAGCUCAAAAAUAAAUAGUAUGUUUAAUGUGGAAAGGAUAUCAUUAAAUCCAUGAUUAUUAGCAUACUAUAUAUUAAAUUUAAUUGAAUUAACCUCUGGCAGGAGCCAAUAAAGUUACACCAAAAAACAUAAAGAACAUUAGAGAAACACUAAAAACUCCUACAAAGAUAAUUCAGCAAUUAGUGGAGUACCAUGUCAAUUUAUAGAAAUCAAUUCCUUUGGUAUAUAUAACUCACAAUUAGUUAGAAGACAUAACAGAAGAAGGAAACCUACUUAUAAUAGAAACUAAAAUAAUGUUAGUAAACAACAUAAAAUGUUAAGAAAACUAUAAAACAUUUCUGAGGGACACAGAAGACUUGACUUUAUAAAAUUCAUACCCUGUUUUUACAUAGGAAGAUAUUAUAGACACCUCUGAUGUCAACUCUCCUUAAGUUGUGAUUCCAUAAAUUUAAUAUGGUUUUAAUAAAAAUACCAACAGAAUUUUAAAACUAGAUAUAGUACUUCUAGAGUUCAUGUGGAAAAGCAAAUAAGCAUGAAUAGCUGGAAAAAUUCUGAAGGAGAAAAUAAGGAAUGAUUAGACCCAUAAGGCUUUAAAGCCACAAUAAUUAAAUAGUAUGAUACUAGCACAUGAAUAGGAAGAUAAAUCAAGGGAAGAAAAUAGUUCAGAAAUAUGGCCAAAUACAUGCGAAUUUACUUUAUGGUCAAGAUAGCAUCUCAGCUCAAUGCAGGAAAAGAUAAAUCCAGUAAAUGGUAUUGGGGGACAACUGAGCAGGCAUUUAGGAGAAAAAGUUGGACCCAUCAUUCAAUCCUGACAAAAAUAUAUUCUGGAUGGAACAAAACUUUAAAGGUAAAAAAAUACCAUAAAAGUACGAGGAUAAGCAUAGGAAAAUUCUUUCAUACAUCCAAAUGGAGGAAGCUUUUCUAACUAUAAAUCAAAACCCGGAAGUAAUCAAGAAAACAACUAGCAAUUAGACUACAUAUAAAAAUUUUAAAAUCCUUUCUGAUGAAAAUCACCGUAAACAAAAGAUAAAUGACAAACAGGGAAAACAUUUGCAACUCUGUUCACUCAUUCAGCUACUAUUUAUUGAAUGCCUACUAUAUGCCAGCUACUCUUCUAGGUGUUUGAGACAUCAUAGUGAACAAAACAGAGUUAAUUGCCCUAAUAUACAAAGAGUUUCUAGAAAUCAGUUUUUAGAUAACAGCAAAUGGUAUAAACAGACAGCUUACAGUUAAGGAAACAAGAAACCCAAUACCAUGUGAAAAAAUUUCCAACCUUGCUUAUAAAAAGCGAUAAAACUACACUGAAAUAUGAAUUUUCACGUAUCAUUAGCAGAAACCCCAAAAUUGUAUUGCUCACAGUGCUGGUACAAGUGUGGAGCAUGGGCAGCCUCAUGUGUUACUGGUAGGUGGUAAUGACACAUGAAUAAAGAUAUAAUAGACUAAAAA
This is a long non-coding RNA of Symphalangus syndactylus (siamang), 3078 nucleotides long. RefSeq lists it as uncharacterized. The record is from RefSeq and is a predicted model, not a curated record. Lineage: Eukaryota; Metazoa; Chordata; Mammalia; Primates; Hylobatidae.